This 301-nucleotide ribosomal RNA is filed under the name uncultured bacterium. RNAcentral's name for it is "partial 16S ribosomal RNA". It matches the Rfam family "Bacterial small subunit ribosomal RNA", at positions 509 to 807 of the family's 1533-position model. The record is from RNAcentral.
CAGUAGCCGCGGUAAUACGGAGGGUGCAAGCGUUAAUCGGAAUUACUGGGCGUAAAGCGCACGCAGGCGGUCUGUCAAGUCAGAUGUGAAAUCCCCGGGCUUAACCUGGGAACUGCAUUUGAAACUGGCAGGCUAGAGUCUUGUAGAGGGGGGUAGAAUUCCAGGUGUAGCGGUGAAAUGCGUAGAGAUCUGGAGGAAUACCGGUGGCGAAGGCGGCCCCCUGGACAAAGACUGACGCUCAGGUGCGAAAGCGUGGGGAGCAAACAGGAUUAGAUACCCGCGUAGUCCCUGUCUCUUAUAC